UCUCUGGAGAAUCCCGGGCAAACCGGGUGCCGAAGGGGCAAGGCAGCCACCGCGCGUGCGCGGCAGCGGGCGGCCGAAACUCUCAGGCAAAAGGACAGAGCGAA
This 104-nucleotide non-coding RNA is filed under the name human gut metagenome. RNAcentral's name for it is "Glycine riboswitch". It matches the Rfam family "Glycine riboswitch aptamer", at positions 9 to 86 of the family's 94-position model. From Rfam's summary of the family: This family represents the bacterial glycine riboswitch. Glycine riboswitches usually consist of two metabolite-binding aptamers domains with similar structures in tandem. The aptamers cooperatively bind glycine to regulate the expression of downstream genes. The record is from RNAcentral.